UGUAAGCGUAUACCAAAGUUGUUGCAGUUAAAACGCUCGUAGUCGGAAUUUGGCAGUUCCGGAUGUGUGCACGUCGUGUGCGCACUUCGCGGGGAUUGCUUUUGUGGUCUUGCGUAGGAUGAGGCACUUUUAUUAGUGAACAUCCUCACGCAACCACUUUUUACUGUGAGAAAAUCAGAGUGCUCAAAGCAGGCAUUUGCCGUGAAUGUAUUAGCAUGGAAUAAUAGAAUAGGACUUGGUUCUAUUUUGUUGGUUUGUUGGGACUGAGUAAUGAUUAAGAGGGACAGUUGGGGGCAUUUGUAUUUCGGUGCUAGAGGUGAAAUUCUUAGAUUACCGAAAGACAAACUGCUGCGAAAGCGUCUGCCAAGGAUGUUUUCAUUGA
RNAcentral lists this ribosomal RNA (382 nucleotides) under uncultured eukaryote. Its description in RNAcentral is "partial 18S ribosomal RNA". It matches the Rfam family "Eukaryotic small subunit ribosomal RNA", at positions 592 to 976 of the family's 1831-position model. The record is from RNAcentral.